RNAcentral lists this ribosomal RNA (253 nucleotides) under uncultured bacterium. RNAcentral describes it as "partial 16S ribosomal RNA". It matches the Rfam family "Bacterial small subunit ribosomal RNA", at positions 524 to 776 of the family's 1533-position model. The record is from RNAcentral.
UACAGAGGUCUCACGCGUUGUUCGGAUUCAUUGGGCGUAAAGGGUGCGUAGGUGGCGGGGUAAGUCAGGUGUGAAAUUUCGGAGCUUAACUCCGAAACUGCAUUUGAUACUGCCUUGCUUGAGGACUGGAGAGGAGACUGGAAUUUACGGUGUAGCAGUGAAAUGCGUAGAGAUCGUAAGGAAGACCAGUGGCGAAGGCGGGUCUCUGGACAGUUCCUGACACUGAGGCACGAAAGCUAGGGGAGCAAACGGG